GAUGAACGCUGGCGGCGUGCCUAAUACAUGCAAGUCGAGCGAACAGAUGAGGAGCUUGCUCCUCUGACGUUAGCGGCGGACGGGUGAGUAACACGUGGAUAACCUACCUAUAAGACUGGGAUAACUUCGGGAAACCGGAGCUAAUACCGGAUAAUAUAUUGAACCGCAUGGUUCAAUAGUGAAAGACGGUUUUGCUGUCACUUAUAGAUGGAUCCGCGCCGCAUUAGCUAGUUGGUAAGGUAACGGCUUACCAAGGCAACGAUGCGUAGCCGACCUGAGAGGGUGAUCGGCCACACUGGAACUGAGACACGGUCCAGACUCCUACGGGAGGCAGCAGUAGGGAAUCUUCCGCAAUGGGCGAAAGCCUGACGGAGCAACGCCGCGUGAGUGAUGAAGGUCUUCGGAUCGUAAAACUCUGUUAUUAGGGAAGAACAAAUGUGUAAGUAACUAUGCACGUCUUGAUGGUACCUAAGCAGAAAGCCACGGCUAACUACGU
Molecule: ribosomal RNA, 496 nt
Filed under: uncultured bacterium
Lineage: Bacteria
Description: partial 16S ribosomal RNA
Rfam family: Bacterial small subunit ribosomal RNA
Source: RNAcentral